CCUACGGGUGGCAGCAGUGGGGAAUAUUGCACAAUGGGGGAAACCCUGAUGCAGCGACGCCGCGUGAGUGAAGAAGUAUUUCGGUAUGUAAAGCUCUAUCAGCAGGGAAGAGAAUGACGGUACCUGAGUAAGAAGCCGCGGCUAACUACGUGCCAGCAGUCGCGGUAAUACGUAGGGGGCAAGCGUUAUCCGGAGUUACUGGGUGUAAAGGGAGCGUAGACGGCGCAGAAAGUCUGCAGGGAAAGCCCGCGGCUCACCCGCGGAACGGCUGUGGAAACUUUUUUGCUGGAGUACCGGAGAGGUAAGCGGACUUCCUAGUGUAGCGGUGACAUGCUUAGAUAUUAGGCGGACCCCCAGUGGCGAAGGCGGCUUACUGGACGGUAACUGCCGUUGCGGCUCGAACGCGUGGGGAGCAAACCGGAUUAGCUACCCCAGUAGUC
This 440-nucleotide ribosomal RNA is filed under the name uncultured bacterium. RNAcentral describes it as "partial 16S ribosomal RNA". It matches the Rfam family "Bacterial small subunit ribosomal RNA", at positions 338 to 795 of the family's 1533-position model. The record is from RNAcentral.